RNAcentral lists this ribosomal RNA (464 nucleotides) under uncultured bacterium. RNAcentral's name for it is "partial 16S ribosomal RNA". It matches the Rfam family "Bacterial small subunit ribosomal RNA", at positions 339 to 795 of the family's 1533-position model. The record is from RNAcentral.
CUACGGGAGGCUGCAGUGAGGAAUUUUGCGCAAUGGGGGAAACCCUGACGCAGCAACGCCGCGUGAGCGAAGAAGGCCUUCGGGUCGUAAAGCUCUGUCAAGUGGGAAAAAAAUUCUUUGACGAACAGUCAAAGGACUUGAUGGUACCACUGGAGGAAGCACCGGCUAACUCCGUGCCAGCAGCCGCGGUAAUACGGAGGGUGCAAGCGUUGUUCGGAAUUACUGGGCGUAAAGAGCGUGUAGGCGGUUUGACAAGUCAGAUGUGAAAGCCCCGGGCUCAACCCGGGAAGUGCAUUUGAAACUGUUUCACUAGAGUAUGGGAGAGGAGAUUGGAAUUCCUGGUGUAGAGGUGAAAUUCGUAGAUAUCAGGAGGAACACCCGUGGCGAAGGCGAUUCUCUGGACCAAUACUGACGCUGAGACGCGAAAGCGUGGGGAGCAAACAGGAUUAGAUACCCCUGUAGUC